This 109-nucleotide ribosomal RNA is filed under the name Pogona vitticeps (central bearded dragon). Lineage: Eukaryota; Metazoa; Chordata; Lepidosauria; Squamata; Agamidae. The record is from RNAcentral.
UUAUGCUAACCCUGAACACACUGGAUCUUGUCUAAUUUUGGAAGCUAAGCAGGGCCAGGUCUGGUAAAUCUUUGGAUGGGAGACUCACUAAGGAAUACCAGGGAUUAAU